ACCCAAAUUCAAAUCCCCUUGAUCCUAUGUCAAAUCCAAAUCAAAUCUCUUCUCUAGCACAUACAACUAGAGUUAGAAUCCUGACCUAUUUAAAAUUCGAUCAAAUUCUAAAAUACCUGAUUAGAAUUGAUCAAAUCAUAUGCAAUUGAACUCUGAUAUAUCCACUCAGAGUUCACUAAUUUAAACUCUAAUACAUACACUUGGAGUUUAAAUUUCAUCUCUUGAUUAAGCUCUAAUACAUACACUUAGAGUUUAAUCUUCAGUUAAUCCUAACCCAUAUAAUUAGGAUUCGGCCUAUAAACCACCUUAGGGUGAACCCAUAUGA
RNAcentral lists this long non-coding RNA (325 nucleotides) under Ananas comosus (pineapple). RNAcentral's name for it is "long non-coding RNA (ACOM_LNC026737)". Lineage: Eukaryota; Viridiplantae; Streptophyta; Magnoliopsida; Poales; Bromeliaceae. The record is from RNAcentral.